UACGAAGGGGGCUAGCGUUGUUCGGAAUUACUGGGCGUAAAGGGCGCGUAGGCUGUGCUGUAAGUCAGGCGUGAAAGCCCCGGGCUCAACCUGGGAAUUGCGCUUGAUACUGCGGCGCUGGAAGGUGGGAGAGGAUGGCGGAAUUCCCAGUGUAGAGGUGAAAUGACGUAGAGAUCGGGAGGAACAUCAGUUGCGAAGGCGGCUCUCUGGACCAGCACUGACACUGAGGCACGAAAGCGUGGGGAGCAAACAGG
RNAcentral lists this ribosomal RNA (254 nucleotides) under uncultured bacterium. RNAcentral describes it as "partial 16S ribosomal RNA". It matches the Rfam family "Bacterial small subunit ribosomal RNA", at positions 524 to 776 of the family's 1533-position model. The record is from RNAcentral.